Hypanus sabinus (Atlantic stingray) is the source of this 955-nucleotide long non-coding RNA. RefSeq lists it as uncharacterized. The transcript has 2 exons. The record is from RefSeq and is a predicted model, not a curated record. Lineage: Eukaryota; Metazoa; Chordata; Chondrichthyes; Myliobatiformes; Dasyatidae.
GUUCGCAAACAAGAAAAAAUCUGCGGAUGCUGGAAAUACACACAAAAAUGCUGGAGGAGCUCAGACAGCAUCUACGGAAAAGAGUAAACAGAAAAUGUUUCAGGCCGAGACCCUUCAUCAGGACUGGAGAAACAGAAGACAAAAAGUCGGCAUAAGAAAGUGGGGAAGGGAAGAGCACCUGAGGGAGGUGAUAGGCAGAUUUGCUUCAUGGAUACCUCUUUAUGAUAGGCUUUAUUAGCCUGCUCGGUGAUUCCAGUUUCCAGGAUGCCAGAGAUCACCUAUAGAUGGCAAUUGUCUAAAAAUAAUGGAAAGAUCGAGGAAGUUAAAGUUACAACGCUGACUGAAUAUUUACUGUCAACUUUCAAGUUUGAGUUUAUUGUCAGUCAACCGUACAACUGAGUGCAGCUAAAUGAGACAUCAUUCUUCUAGGGCCAAGCUGCAAAACACAGUACAUAUAGCUAUGAUCCAGUCACAAAAUAUUAGCACAAGUUUGUGGCACGGCCUGACGACUGACAGGUUGACAUAAAGUGUGAGGUGAAUGUUUAUGGAAGAAGGUAUAAUGUUACUGAUACUAUUAUAAUAAAAACAAACAGUAGUAUAAAUUUGUGAAACAGCCACAGUGCAGGGUGAGAGUGUAUCUCUGAAUCGGGGAGUUGGCAGGGGAUUCAGACAUGUGUGCUGAGGGGCAGCAGGGUCUUUCUGUAAGUUUAACAAUUAAUGUGGUUUCUCCAUUACCAAACUCAGAAUCUAGGCUAAUGUUUUUUUUUGAAGUAUGAUGAAUGAGAAACUGCUAUUGUGAUACUGUAAGCUACCGGUCUGCAAAAAAAAAACUGUUGCAGCAAGAUAAAAAGCAAAUGACUUUAAGGUGCAGAGAAGUAUAGGCGAUGCAAAAAAAAAAAUCAAUCAGAACAGGAAAAGAUAAAUGAACACAAACACUUUACACCAUCCUCCACUC